UCACUGUGUUAGCCAGGCUGGUCUCGAUUUCUUGACCUCGUGAUCCACCUGCCUCGGCCUCCCAAAGUGCUGGGAUUACACGCGUGAGCCGCCAUGCCCAGCCAGAAACGCAUCUUUUUCUACAUAGUUGCUGUUGCUGAUGCAAAGAAGUCUCGCGAAUUCAAUCCAAAUAAUUCCACUGCUGUGCUGAGAAAAGGGAUAUGUGAAUACCAUUUAAAAAACUAUGCUGCUGCUCUAGAAACUUUUAUAGGAGGACAAAAAUUAGUUUUUCUUUCUAGGUGCAGAUGCUAAUUUCAGUGACUGGAUUAAAAGGUGUCAAGAAGCUCAGAAUGGUA
RNAcentral lists this long non-coding RNA (335 nucleotides) under Homo sapiens (human). RNAcentral describes it as "non-protein coding lnc-BAG1-2:15". The record is from RNAcentral. Lineage: Eukaryota; Metazoa; Chordata; Mammalia; Primates; Hominidae.